GACGAACGCUGGCGGCGUGCCUAAUACAUGCAAGUGGGACGCAAGGGAACACACUGUGCUUGCACACCGUGUUUUCUUGAGUCGCGAACGGGUGAGUAACGCGUAGGUAACCUGCCUAUUAGCGGGGGAUAACUAUUGGAAACGAUAGCUAAUACCGCAUAAUAUUAAUUAUUGCAUGAUAAUUGAUUGAAAGAUGCAAGCGCAUCACUAGUAGAUGGACCUGCGUUGUAUUAGCUAGUUGGUAAGGUAAGAGCUUACCAAGGCGACGAUACAUAGCCGACCUGAGAGGGUGAUCGGCCACACUGGGACUGAGACACGGCCCAGACUCCUACGGGAGGCAGCAGUAGGGAAUCUUCGGCAAUGGACGAAAGUCUGACCGAGCAACGCCGCGUGAGUGAAGAAGGUUUUCGGAUCGUAAAGCUCUGUUGUAAGUCAAGAACGUGUGUGAGAGUGGAAAGUUCACACAGG
This 468-nucleotide ribosomal RNA is filed under the name Streptococcus mutans. Its description in RNAcentral is "bacterial SSU rRNA". It matches the Rfam family "Bacterial small subunit ribosomal RNA", at positions 28 to 472 of the family's 1533-position model. The record is from RNAcentral. Lineage: Bacteria; Bacillati; Bacillota; Bacilli; Lactobacillales; Streptococcaceae.